This is a long non-coding RNA of Cervus elaphus (red deer), 423 nucleotides long. RefSeq lists it as uncharacterized. The transcript is spliced from 3 exons. Lineage: Eukaryota; Metazoa; Chordata; Mammalia; Artiodactyla; Cervidae. The record is from RefSeq and is a predicted model, not a curated record.
CCAUCCCCUUGGGACUCUUGUGGUGUCUCUGCAGUUCCUCCGGCCACCUCUGGUGGCAAUCCCUGGGCAACCGCCAGUGGGGGUCGCUGGGUCCCCUAGGAAGCCAGUGGAUGUGGCAGCAGGGAGGGGAGCUGAUAGUCAGCAGGAGAGAAGGCCAGCCUUCGACCACUGUGCCUGCUGAUUGAUUCCUGAAUACUUCGAGGAUUGCCAUGCUCCCUGCCUGGUGUUUGGUAGAUGCUGAAGAGAUGCUAGUUCUUUUUCUUAUGAGCCCUUCUUCCUGCUUCAAAAAGUACCAGCCCUCCCUCCAGCCCCCUUCACCACCCCACCCCCAACACGGGGGAUGCGGCAACCUGCCAUGAAUGAAGAGUAGCUGGUCACAUGGCCCGGUCACCAUGGAGACGGAUCCCCGCAGACAGAGGUAGG